GACGAACGCUGGCGGCGUGCUUAACACAUGCAAGUCGAACGGAAAGGCCCUGCUUUUGUGGGGUGCUCGAGUGGCGAACGGGUGAGUAACACGUGAGUAACCUGCCCUUGACUUUGGGAUAACUUCAGGAAACUGGGGCUAAUACCGGAUAGGAGCUCCUGCUGCAUGGUGGGGGUUGGAAAGUUUCGGCGGUUGGGGAUGGACUCGCGGCUUAUCAGCUUGUUUGUGGGGUAGUGGCUUACCAAGGCUUUGACGGGUAGCCGGCCUGAGAGGGUGACCGGCAACAUUGGGACUGAGAUACGGCCCAGACUCGUACGGGAGGCAGCAGUGGGGAAUAUUGCACAAUGGGCGGAAGCCUGAUGCAGAAACGCCGCGUGCGGGAUGACGGCCUUCGGGUUGUAAACCGAUUUCGACUGUGACGAAGCGUGAGUGACGGUAAUGGGUAAAGAAGCACCGGCUAACUACGUG
Molecule: ribosomal RNA, 468 nt
Filed under: uncultured bacterium
Lineage: Bacteria
Description: partial 16S ribosomal RNA
Rfam family: Bacterial small subunit ribosomal RNA
Source: RNAcentral